Molecule: ribosomal RNA, 254 nt
Filed under: uncultured bacterium
Lineage: Bacteria
Description: partial 16S ribosomal RNA
Rfam family: Bacterial small subunit ribosomal RNA
Source: RNAcentral
UACGUAGGGGGCAAGCGUUGUCCGGAAUCAUUGGGCGUAAAGGGCGCGUAGGCGGCCCCAGUACGCGUGCCGUGAAAGCCCGGGGCUCAACCCCGGGUCGGCGGUGCGAACGGGGGGGCUGGAGCCGAUCAGAGGCGGGCGGAAUUCCGGGUGUAGCGGUGGAAUGCGUAGAGAUCCGGAAGAACACCGGGGGCGAAGGCGGCAUCCUGGCUCGGAACUGACGCUGAGGCGCGAGAGCGUGGGGAGCAAACCGG